AUCUUAGACAAUGGGGGCAACCCUGAUCUAGCCAUGCCGCGUGAGUGAAGAAGGCCUUAGGGCCGUAAAGCUCUUUCGCCAGGGAUGAUAAUGACAGUACCUGGUAAAGAAACCCCGGCUAACUCCGUGCCAGCAGCCGCGGUAAUACGGAGGGGGUUAGCGUUGUUCGGAAUUACUGGGCGUAAAGCGCACGUAGGCGGACUUGAAAGUUGGGGGUGAAAUCCCGGGGCUCGACCUCGGAACUGCCUUCAAAACUCCAAGUCUAGAGUUCGAGAGAGGUGAGUGGAAUUCCGAGUGUAGAGGUGAAAUUCGUAGAUAUUCGGAGGAACACCAGUGGCGAAGGCGGCUCACUGGCUCGAUACUGACGCUGAGGUGCGAAAGUGUGGGGAGCAAACA
RNAcentral lists this ribosomal RNA (396 nucleotides) under uncultured bacterium. RNAcentral's name for it is "partial 16S ribosomal RNA". It matches the Rfam family "Bacterial small subunit ribosomal RNA", at positions 361 to 774 of the family's 1533-position model. The record is from RNAcentral.